Molecule: ribosomal RNA, 253 nt
Filed under: uncultured bacterium
Lineage: Bacteria
Description: partial 16S ribosomal RNA
Rfam family: Bacterial small subunit ribosomal RNA
Source: RNAcentral
UACGUAGGUGGCAAGCGUUGUCCGGAGUUACUGGGCGUAAAGGGCGUGUAGGCGGCCUUUUAAGUCAGACGUGAAACCCCUGGGCUUAACCCAGGAACUGCGUUUGAAACUAAAAGGCUUGAGGACCGGAGAGGGUAGUGGAAUUCCCAGUGUAGCGGUGAAAUGCGUAGAUAUUGGGAGGAACACCAGUGGCGAAGGCGACUGCCUGGACGGCCCCUGACGCUGAGGCGCGAAAGCGUGGGGAGCAAACAGG